GAGGUCCCAGUUGCCUUCAUCGGUGUAGAAUUUCAGCGCGAAACCGCGGACGUCGCGCUCGUGGUCGGCGGCGCCCUGUUCGCCGGC
This 87-nucleotide small RNA is filed under the name Sinorhizobium meliloti 2011. Its description in RNAcentral is "putative ncRNA". The record is from RNAcentral. Lineage: Bacteria; Pseudomonadati; Pseudomonadota; Alphaproteobacteria; Hyphomicrobiales; Rhizobiaceae.